GCGCGAAAACUUUACAAUGCUGGCAACAGCGAUAAGGGAACCUCGAGUGCCAGGUUACAAAUCUGGCUGUCGAGAUGCCUAAAAAGCAUUUCAUAGCAAGGGCCGGGCAAGACCGGUGCCAGCCGCCGCGGUAACACCGGCGGCUCGAGUGGUAACCGUUAUUAUUGGGUCUAAAGGGUCUGUAGCCGGCCGGAUAAGUCUCUUGAGAAAUCUGGCAGCUUAACUGUCAGGCUUUCAGGAGAUACUGUCUGGCUCGAGGCCGGGAGAGGUGAGAGGUACUUCAGGGGUAGGGGUGAAAUCUUGUAAUCCUUGAAGGACCACCAGUGGCGAAAGCGUCUCACCAGAACGGACCUGACGGCAAGGGACGAAAGCUAGGGGCACGAACCG
This 387-nucleotide ribosomal RNA is filed under the name uncultured bacterium. RNAcentral describes it as "bacterial SSU rRNA". It matches the Rfam family "Archaeal small subunit ribosomal RNA", at positions 339 to 726 of the family's 1478-position model. The record is from RNAcentral.